This 155-nucleotide ribosomal RNA is filed under the name uncultured bacterium. Its description in RNAcentral is "partial 16S ribosomal RNA". It matches the Rfam family "Bacterial small subunit ribosomal RNA", at positions 355 to 509 of the family's 1533-position model. The record is from RNAcentral.
UGAGGAAUAUUGGUCAAUGGGAGAGAUCCUGAACCAGCCAAGCCGCGUGAGGGAAGACGGCACUACGUGUUGUAAACCUCUUUUGCCGGGGAACAAAGCGGGACGCGUCCCCGUCCGCGUGUACCCGGAGAAAAAGCAUCGGCUAACUCCGUGCC